AGAGCUGACCCUUUGAUCCCUCGGCUUUAAUACUGAGUGUGGGGCAGAUGGGAUGGAAAACCCCCUUGGAGGUCUGUUUGGCAUCCCCCCUCCUGUCCCCCCCUUCCCCAGCUGAGGGUGAGCUGAGAAGUAGAAGACAGAGGCUCACCCUGGUCCCCCUCCCCACAUUUGGGUAUGGCCCCAAGGACCACCCUGGAGCUGGGUAUGACACCCCAUUGGUACCCAGACCUUUGAGAGCUAUGGGUACAGCUCCCCGUGAACCUCCCCGCACCCCUUACUUUGGGCAUGGGCUCUUUAUACAUAAGGUGGGACACUGGGGACAGCGGGGGACUCCUCCUCCCCAGGGAUUUGAGGUCCCCAAGGUGACAGGGCACAGCUGGGGUGUUCUGACACUCAAAGCCCUCCCAACCCCAUCUUGUCUUCUUGUUCCUGGCUCCCCACAAGCUUCCAGCUGUUGUGGGGUAGCAGGGACACUGCUGGGUUCCUCUGCUAUGUCCAAAAAUCACAAUCAAGCUCUCAGCUCUACAUGAUCUCUCCCCAAAAAUCCUUUUUAUUCUUCAUUUUCCAUUCUUUUUCUUCUUUUUUUGGUUCCCGGGAACAAAGGGCUGACAAGUUUUCAUCCCAAAUAGACAAAUGUCCUGAAACAUCAAGAAAAACCCCCAGAGAUGGAUGGAGCAGAACUGGUGCAUUGUGGUGGAACCACAAUUCAUCAUGGUCUGGUUGGGGGUUUGCUCCAUCCUUUGUGAUAACGGACAGGAAAAUCAGCUCUUUUUUGGGGGAAGAAUCCUGCUUAUUUAUGGGUGCCAAUCCUUGCCGAUGUCUCUGCCCCAGCACAGGCUUCCGGGAGAGGCACAGCCCUGGGAAAAGCCACCUGCACCGCCUCCCAUUAAGGAACUGGGAGGGUGAUGGGUUUCCUUUGGUGCUUUGCCCUUGGUGGUUUUUUUUUAUGACUCUGGACUUGUUGAUGUGUAUCAUUCUGGAUGAAGAACCCGAGCUCAAACGACGUGGGAGGUGGAGCCUUAAACCGCACCCUGGAACUGGGCAAAGUCUUUGGAAGGGAUUUUGAAUAAAUCCUGGGGAGACCAGUGAGCAAGAGCAGGGGCUGCACUGGGAGCUGCAUGUGGAUCCUGUCCUGCCCUCGACCAAGGGUUCCUUCUGACGCCAGGGUGCAGUUGUGUGCUCUGGCGGCAAAUGGGAUUCCCCACAAGCCCAUGGGGCCUCCUCAGUCCUUUCCUGACUCUCCACCUCCUCCGGCUGGGAUCAG
This is a long non-coding RNA of Calidris pugnax (ruff), 1264 nucleotides long. RefSeq lists it as uncharacterized. The record is from RefSeq and is a predicted model, not a curated record. The transcript is spliced from 3 exons. NCBI's taxonomy places the organism in Eukaryota, Metazoa, Chordata, Aves, Charadriiformes, Scolopacidae.